RNA transcript from Rhinopithecus roxellana (golden snub-nosed monkey), 2383 nucleotides. It is a transcript of the gene named adenosine deaminase tRNA specific 2, with no coding region annotated. The record is from RefSeq and is a predicted model, not a curated record. Lineage: Eukaryota; Metazoa; Chordata; Mammalia; Primates; Cercopithecidae. The transcript is spliced from 10 exons.
UUUGGCGCUGAGUGGUGGCGGAGUAUGGAGGCGAAGGCGGCGCCCAAGUCAGCUGCAGGCGGCGCGUGCUCGGUGUCGGCAGAGGAGACAGAAAAGUGGAUGGAGGAGGCAAUGCACAUGGCCAAAGAAGCCCUUGAAAAUACUGAAGUUCCUGUUGGUUGCCUUAUGGUCUACAAGAAUGAAGUUGUAGGGAAGGGGAGAAAUGAAGUUAACCAAACCAAAAAUGCUACUCGACAUGCAGAAAUGGUGGCCAUUGAUCAGGUCCUCGAUUGGUGUCGUCGAAGUGGCAAGAGUCCCUCUGAAGUAUUUGAACACACUGUGUUAUAUGUCACUGUGGAGCCGUGCAUUAUGUGUGCAGCUGCUCUCCGCCUGAUGAAAAUCCCACUGGUUGUAUAUGGCUGUCAGAAUGAACGAUUUGGUGGUUGUGGCUCUGUUCUAAAUAUUGCCUCUGCUGACCUACCAAACACUGGGAGACCGUUUCAGUGUAUCCCUGGAUAUCGGGCUGAGGAAGCAGUGGAAAUGUUAAAGACCUUCUACAAACAAGAAAAUCCAAAUGCCCCAAAAUCAAAAGUUCGGAAAAAGGAAUGUCAGAAAUCUUGAGCAUGUUCUGAUGAAAGAACCAAGUGACCCAAAGUGACCUGGACAAGAUUCCUAGACUGAAAGCUGUUGACAUCGUUGAAUCAUAUGUUUAUAUAUUGUUUUUAAUCUGUGGGAAAAUGGUGUCUCUCAUCAUUUGCUCUGUUAAGGGAACAAAUUAGCACUUUUUAGAAGUCUGACAAUUGUAAACAAUUGUUAGCUUUUCCACAGGCUGAUUCCCAUUUUAAGAUGGGGGAAAAUUAAGGUUUGAGGUUUUAGAAAUUAGCAAGUAGUGCAUACCCUUCCAGCCACAAGUGCCCAGUCCGGGCAAAUGCUGACUUUUUAGAGAAUGUGUGGCCAGACCCAGGGGCCUGGAGUGUGUCUGAACUGCAUGCAGUGUGCCACCCUGAGAACACCUUCUCCAGGACUGCCAUUUCAGAGUCAGAUUCUUCAUUUUUUGCAGCUACGAUGUUCUGCCAGAUCAAUGCGGGGCUGUGACUUCUCUCUAAAUUGUAUGACAACCAACCUGGAGUUUUGCCUCUGUGGAGUACCACCCGGUCAGGCCAGGAGCCUAGUCUAAAGGAAACUCUACCAUCGGGGACAUCAGCUGCUGUGGCCAGAGAAGAGAACAUGAUGGUCCAGGGUGCAGCUGCUGAAGAAGGAUCCCAGACUCUACCCAGAUCCCCAAAUACCAUCUCUUCUGCCUGUAACUGAGCCAGUAAAAGGAAAAAGCAGCUUCUGGGGGCCACAACAAAGGCACAUUGAUAAAGGCCCUCUUUAACAUCAGGAGGAUAUGGAGGAAGAGAGGUAAGGACUGAGGAAGUGGUUCCAUGAAGGAAGGACGGGAUAUUUUUGAAUUCUCUCCUGAUCUUCUUACCCGAGGAGGACAGCAGCACUGAGGGUAGACUACGGCUCCAGUGGUUAAUUUCACCGGAUCAAGAAGAGACAUAGGAAAGGAAAAACGUUGGUGUGUAAGGGAGGGACAGUCACUUCUUUGUUCAUGCUAUUAGUUGAUUAGGUAAACAUCAUUUGAUUUGUCUUUGUGCUAGUGGGCAGAACUACAGUGUAAAGUUGAAAGUCAUUUUGGACUCCCUUUUCUCAUAAGAGGCAGGGUGAGAUGGCUUGGAAGUAGGCUGAGAAACGUUAUUCUUGAUAGUUGUCCAAACUCUCUGCCUCGUAGGAGGCAUGGAUAUGGUUUUCCCUCACAUUUGGGUAUGAAAUCUGAGAUUCCAUUUCUGAUCUCUACUUAGGAUGGCCAUAGGUAGUUCAGUACUAGUGACCUGUUUUGAAUCAAAGCCUAUUAGGCUCACCUAGCUUAGAUAGGAGCAUGGUCCACAAAAUCUAGGCUAGCUAGAAAUGGAGCUGACAGAAGGCAGACUCGCCUGUUAGAAUAACUAGUAAUAGCUAAGGCUUAUUGACUAUUGUGUGCCAGGCAUGACUCUAAGGACUUUGAAGCUAUAGUUUUAUAUAAUCCUUGCAGUAACCUUGUGAGGUUACUGUUCUUAUCUCCAUUUAAGGAGUGAGGAAAGAGAGCUUUAUGGAGUUUAACUUGCUGAUAUCACAAAACUGCUGAGUAGCAGAACCAGAAUUUUAACUCCAGAGCUCAUAUUUCCUAACCAUCAUACUAAACUAUUUCAACAAGUUUAUCCAAAUAGGAAAAGAACAGAAAGGACGGUGAUGAGUGUCAUUUUCUGUCCAGUCCUCCAGGGGAACAAAACCUCAUAAGCAGGAUUUUUGUUUUUAAGGCAGAGUCUCACUCUGUCGCCCCGGCUGGAAUGCAGUGGUGCAAUCUCAGCUCACUUCAACC